UGGCGGCGUUGCCUUUAUCAUGCAAUUCGAGCGGACAGAUGGGAGCUUGCUCCCUGAUGUUAGCGGCGGACGGGUGAGUAACACGUGGGUAACCUGCCUGUAAGACUGGGAUAACUCCGGGAAACCGGGGCUAAUACCGGAUGGUUGUCUGAACCGCAUGGUUCAGACAUAAAAGGUGGCUUCGGCUACCACUUACAGAUGGACCCGCGGCGCAUUAGCUAGUUGGUGAGGUAACGGCUCACCAAGGCGACGAUGCGUAGCCGACCUGAGAGGGUGAUCGGCCACACUGGGACUGAGACACGGCCCAGACUCCUACGGGAGGCAGCAGUAGGGAAUCUUCCGCAAUGGACGAAAGUCUGACGGAGCAACGCCGCGUGAGUGAUGAAGGUUUUCGGAUCGUAAAGCUCUGUUGUUAGGGAAGAACAAGUGCCGUUCAAAUAGGGCGGCACCUUGACGGUACCUAACCAGAAAGCCACGGCUAACUACGUGCCAGCAGCCGCGGUAAUACGUAGGUGGCAAGCGUUGUCCGGAAUUAUUGGGCGUAAAGGGCUCGCAGGCGGUUUCUUAAGUCUGAUGUGAAAGCCCCCGGCUCAACCGGGGAGGGUCAUUGGAAACUGGGGAACUUGAGUGCAGAAGAGGAGAGUGGAAUUCCACGUGUAGCGGUGAAAUGCGUAAAGAUGUGGAGGAACACCAGUGGCGAAGGCGACUCUCUGGUCUGUAACUGACCCUGAGGAGCGAAAGCGUGGGGAGCGAACAGGAUUAAAUACCCUGGUAGUCCACCCCGUAACAAUGAAUGCUAAUUGUUAGGGGGUUCCCCCCCUUAU
RNAcentral lists this ribosomal RNA (824 nucleotides) under Bacillus sp. Bac12C. RNAcentral's name for it is "bacterial SSU rRNA". It matches the Rfam family "Bacterial small subunit ribosomal RNA", at positions 37 to 843 of the family's 1533-position model. Lineage: Bacteria; Bacillati; Bacillota; Bacilli; Caryophanales; Bacillaceae. The record is from RNAcentral.